UACAGAGGUCUCAAGCGUUGUUCGGAUUCAUUGGGCGUAAAGGGUGCGUAGGCGGCGCGGUAAGUCGGGUGUGAAAUCUUGGAGCUUAACUCCGAAACUGCAUUCGAUACUGCCGUGCUUGAGGACUGGAGAGGAGACUGGAAUUUACGGUGUAGCGGUGAAAUGCGUAGAUAUCGUAAGGAACACCAAUGGCGAAGGCAGCUCGCUGGGACGGUACUGACGCUGAGACGCGAAAGCGUGGGGAGCAAACAGG
Molecule: ribosomal RNA, 253 nt
Filed under: uncultured bacterium
Lineage: Bacteria
Description: partial 16S ribosomal RNA
Rfam family: Bacterial small subunit ribosomal RNA
Source: RNAcentral